RNAcentral lists this ribosomal RNA (381 nucleotides) under uncultured bacterium. RNAcentral describes it as "bacterial SSU rRNA". It matches the Rfam family "Bacterial small subunit ribosomal RNA", at positions 30 to 414 of the family's 1533-position model. The record is from RNAcentral.
AUUGAACGCUGGCGGUAGGCCUAACACAUGCAAGUCGAACGCGAAAGUCCUUCGGGAUGAGUAGAGUGGCGGACGGGUGAGUAACGCGUAGGAAUCUAUCCUGUAGUGGGGGAUAACGUUUCGAAAGGAACGCUAAUACCGCAUACGCCCCAAGGGGGAAAGCGGGGAGUCUUCGGACCUCGUGCUAUAGGAGGAGCCUGCGUCGGAUUAGCUAGUUGGUGAGGUAAAGGCUCACCAAGGCGACGAUCCGUAGCUGGUCUGAGAGGAUGAUCAGCCACACCGGAACUGAGACACGGUCCGGACUCCUACGGGAGGCAGCAGUGGGGAAUAUUGCGCAAUGGGCGAAAGCCUGACGCAGCCAUACCGCGUGUGUGAAGAAGG